ACGUGGAUAAAACCUUGAAAAUACUAUGCUAAGUGAAAGCGGUCAGUCACAAGACGAUGUGCUAUGUGAUUUCACUGGGAGGAAAUAUCCAGAACAGGCAAUGGAUAGCUAGAGGGCAGAAGAGAGGUGGCCAAAGGCUGGGGCAGAUGGGCUGAAGAAGGACUGCUAAUAGGUACAGGGCUCCUUCUGGGGUUACUAAAGUGUUCUAAUACUGAAUAUGGCAAUGGUAAUAAACUCUGUGAGUACUCUAGAAAACAUUGAAUUGCAUAAUUUAAAUGGGUGACUUGUACACCAUGUGAGUUAUAUACCAACAAAAAUGUUUAAAAAAUCAUCAAAGUUCACCAUGUGUAUACUUAUAGAAGUUUUAUCAAUAAUUGUUAAAACACAGAAACAACCAAGAAGACCUUUAGUGGAUGGAUGGAUAAACUGGCCCAUCCAUCUUAUGGAAUAUUGUUCAAUGCUACAAAGAAAUCAGCCAUGGAAUCAUGAAAAGGCACCAUGAGCCUUAUAUGGGAAAGAAAUCAUUGAAAGACUGUGUGGUGUACAACUCCAACUAUGUGACAUUCUGGAAAAGGCAAAAGUACGGAGAUAGUAAAAAGAUCAGAGUUGCCAGGAGUCAGGAGGGUGGGAAGGAUGAGUAGCUGGAAUAGAAGAGUUUUAGACAGUAAAAGUAUUCCUUACAAUGUUAGAAUGGCAUUAUAUACAUAAAUGUCAAAAUCCAAAGAACGGACACCACCAAGAGUGGACCAACUGGAAAUCAUGGCUCUGUGAUGCAACAAUGCAGUCUCAUGGACUGUGGUAAGUGGUCCACUCCGGUGGAGAUGUGGCUGGUGUGGGAGGUGGUGUGUGUUCAGGG
Molecule: long non-coding RNA, 856 nt
Filed under: Marmota monax (woodchuck)
Lineage: Eukaryota; Metazoa; Chordata; Mammalia; Rodentia; Sciuridae
Source: RNAcentral